GGUUAAGCGACUAAGCGUACACGGUGGAUGCCCUGGCAGUCAGAGGCGAUGAAGGACGUGCUAAUCUGCGAAAAGCGUCGGUAAGGUGAUAUGAACCGUUAUAGCCGGCGAUGUCCGAAUGGGGAAACCCAGUGCAAUUCGUUGCACUAUCGUUAACUGAAUACAUAGGUUAACGAGGCGAACCGGGGGAACUGAAACAUCUAAGUACCCCGAGGAAAAGAAAUCAACCGAGAUUCCCCCAGUAGCGGCGAGCGAACGGGGAGCAGCCCGGAGUCUGAAUCAGCUUGUGUGUUAGUGGAAGCGUCUGGAAAGUCGCAGGGUACAGGGUGAUACUCCCGUACACUAAAACGCACAGGUUGUGAACUCGAAGAGUAGGGCGGGACACGUGGUAUCCUGUCUGAAUAUGGGGGGACCAUCCUCCAAGGCUAAAUACUCCUGACUGACCGAUAGUGAACCAGUACCGUGAGGGAAAGGCGAAAAGAACCCCGGCGAGGGGAGUGAAAAAGAACCUGAAACCGUGUACGUACAAGCAGUAGGAGCCCACUGGUUGGGUGACUGCGUACCUUUUGUAUAAUGGGUCAGCGACUUAUAUUCUGUAGCAAGGUUAACCGUAUAGGGGAGCCGCAGGGAAACCGAGUCUUAACUGGGCGUUAAGUUGCAGGGUAUAGACCCGAAACCCGGUGAUCUAGCCAUGGGCAGGUUGAAGGUUGGGUAACACUAACUGGAGGACCGAACCGACUAAUGUUGAAAAAUUAGCGGAUGACUUGUGGCUGGGGGUGAAAGGCCAAUCAAACCGGGAGAUAGCUGGUUCUCCCCGAAAGCU
RNAcentral lists this ribosomal RNA (823 nucleotides) under Klebsiella michiganensis. RNAcentral describes it as "partial 23S ribosomal RNA". It matches the Rfam family "Bacterial large subunit ribosomal RNA", at positions 1 to 867 of the family's 2925-position model. The record is from RNAcentral. Lineage: Bacteria; Pseudomonadati; Pseudomonadota; Gammaproteobacteria; Enterobacterales; Enterobacteriaceae.